Small nuclear RNA from Tupaia belangeri (northern tree shrew), 106 nucleotides. Lineage: Eukaryota; Metazoa; Chordata; Mammalia; Scandentia; Tupaiidae. The record is from Ensembl.
GUGCUUGCUUCGGCGGCACAUACACUAAAAUUGAAACGAUGCAGAGAAGACUAGCAUGGCCCUGCGCAAGGGCGACCUGCAAAUUCGGGAAGCGUUCCAUAUUUUU